UCUUUUUAUUUGUUAAAUUUUUUUCUUGGGGCGGUUUUGUGGAGCCUUUUUAGUUCUGGUUCUGGAGAAGCAAACAGCUAGGCUCCAGGAGAAAUAGCGCCUCCCCAUUACUUGCCUCAUUAGUGCUUGUUGUCCCUUUGAGUGGAUGAGGAUGUUGUUCCCGACCACCUGUAUUCUCUCCGCGUGCAUCUUGUUGGCCUCUCUCUCACUCUCGGCUGCUCUGAACCUCACCCUCCCUCACCAACACCCGGACCCUGAAGCUGUUGUCCAAGAUGUGCACAGGAGACUGAAUGCCUCCCUCUCAAGAAGACUCCUGUCCUCGUCCUCCUCGUCGUGUGGCACCGGCAACCCCAUCGACGACUGCUGGCGGUGUGACCCGAACUGGGCCUCGAACCGGCAGCGCCUGGCAGACUGUGGCAUCGGGUUUGGGCAGUCUGCGCUGGGGGGUCGCGACGGGCGCAUCUACGUGGUGACCGACUCCUCGGACUUGGACGUGGUGAACCCGACACCGGGGACGCUCCGGUACGGGGUCAUCCAGGAGGAGCCCCUGUGGAUCAUCUUCUCCGCCGACAUGAUGAUCCGGCUCAAGCACGAGCUCAUCAUCAACGAUUUCAAGACCAUCGACGGCCGGGGACACAACAUCCAAAUCACCGGCAACGGCUGCCUCACCGUCCAAUACGUCUCCAACAUCAUCAUCCACAACGUCCACAUCCACCACUGCAAGCCCUCCGGCAAUACCAACAUCCGGUCGUCGCCGACCCACGUCGGGUUCCGCGGGCGAUCCGAUGGGGACGGGAUAUCGAUGUUCGGGGCGUCGCACAUCUGGGUGGACCACUGCUCGCUGUCGUACUGCGCCGACGGGCUGAUAGACGCGAUCAUGGCGUCGACGGCGAUCACGAUAUCGAACAGCUACUUCUCGCACCACGACGAGGUGAUGCUGCUGGGUCAUGACGACAAGUACCUCCCGGACUCGGGGAUGCAGGUGACCAUCGCGUUCAACCACUUCGGGCAGGCACUGGUGCAGCGGAUGCCGCGGUGCCGGCGGGGCUACAUCCACGUGGUCAACAACGACUUCACGGCGUGGGAGAUGUACGCCAUCGGCGGCAGCGGCAACCCCACCAUCAACAGCCAGGGCAACCGCUACACGGCGCCGGCCAACCCCGACGCCAAGGAGGUGACGAAGCGCGUGGACACGGAGGAGAACCAUUGGUCGGACUGGAACUGGCGAACGGAGGGGGACAUCAUGGUGAACGGCGCCUUCUUCGUCCCGUCCGGGGUCGGCCUCAGCGCUCAGUACUCCAAGGCCUCCAGCAUCGAGCCCAAGUCUGCUGGCCUCAUCAACCAGUUGACCAUGAACGCCGGCGUCUUCGGCGAUCCUAGACCAGCAUCAACUUGACUGCAUUUGAGUUUGAGAUGAGCAGAGCAGUGAGGGAAGCUUCCCUCUGGGACUGAGCAUUUUUUAGGAAGAUAAUGCAGCCAAAUUUCCAGUUCAGCUAAGAUUGAACGUUAUUCCAACCACUAGGAUCUUGGACUCUGCAAUAAAAUCUUUUGUUGGACAACAGCGCCGGCAUAUCUUACCCGGGGUUUUCUGGGGGCGGGACCAGCACGACCACCACCCCCGGCGGCGGUGGAGGAAGCGGGUCCAACGGAGGGGAUGGCGACUACUUUGGAAUGAUUUUCGGGAGCGAUG
This is an RNA transcript of Syzygium oleosum, 1690 nucleotides long. It is a transcript of the gene named probable pectate lyase 13, with no coding region annotated. Lineage: Eukaryota; Viridiplantae; Streptophyta; Magnoliopsida; Myrtales; Myrtaceae. The record is from RefSeq and is a predicted model, not a curated record. The transcript has 5 exons.